GGGGCAUCUGUGGAAAAAUGUUCAACAAAUAAAAUUCAUUAACAAGAUGUACACUUCAAAAAAAAAACAAAGAGAUCAGGUUUUAUCCUUAAAGUUUUCUCCAAGGUUUUCUGGUUUAUCAUAUCAAACAUACAAUUAAUUAUAUGAUCAAAUCUAAUAACUACUGACUAAAUUCAUCAAAUUCUAGUUUAUAAUGCAAGUGCAGUGCAUUUUCUUGCCGUGUAUAAUUAAGUCUUGGGAUAAGUGUUUAAUUUGCAUAUCAAGUUAAUUACGCAGUCAUUGCACUGAUUUCCAGUGUUAAUUAUUUUGUUUACAUGGCAAACAAAUAACAAUAUCUUAACGAAAACAGAAAAAACAAAACACCCUUUGACAUUUCAAUGGCAUUCCAAUUAAUCGGGAAUGUCUACUUGUUCGAUAAGACAACGAUAAAAAGCCCUUUUGACCAACAAAAGAAUUCACAGCCUAUCCAAUUUAUGAUAUAAAUGUAAAUUUCAAAUAUAUAAACAUUGAUUAUAAUGCUGGCGAUAUUAUUAUGCGGAAGACAUUUUCGAUACUCACGUUUUGAGCAAAUAAAUAUUUGCUUAACUAGAUUUCAAUUGCACAUUUACUUUUCUGAACCAAUUUGUAUGAGAAUUUCCUGAAUAUGGCUAUGGAAAAAUAUUUCAAAUGCUCAUUAAAUUGACUGGAAGCCAAAACGAAAACUGUUAACUCACGUUUCAUCAAUUACUUAGAAGACGAAGCCGACAAGUCAUAACAAAAUACAAUAAAAAAAAAGAAACUCAAUCAAAUGUCUUGCAUUAGAUUGAGCAUCGACUUUGAUAUACUCAUUUUUAUCAUAUCAAUAUCAAUCAAAUGCCAUGACUUUACGUUAUUAAAUUAUAUACAAAAUAUGAAUAGUAAAAGACUGGAUGAAAAUAAACUCCCUGUUUUGCUUAUACAUAUAGUGAGAAUAGGACAUAUAUUUGAACUGAACAAUUGAGUCAACGAAAAAGGUGAAAUAUCAGCAAAGAAUCUCAAGUAUCAAACGUGCGCUCUAGGCAAACACCCAAACCAAAAUCGGACAUAGCCAACAAACGAAAAAAAAAAUAAAAUAAAAUAAUAGAUGUUUAAUACUUCAAUUUGUAGCACUCAUAAUGAUUGGAGUCAUUAGACUCUCAACACUUUUGAUUUCUGAAAUGCGCAAAUGUCUUGAAAGUGUUAAUUAAGCGAAAUGAAGAUUAUAAUCAAAAUGAAAUCGAAAUCAAAAUCAAAUUGAAAUCAAAAUCCAAUCCAAAAUCGAAUGCAAUUUUCAAGUUUUUAAAUUUUUAUUGCUACAUAAUUUAAGUUUUAUAUCAAUUUUAAUUAGCUGCCGUCUUUUUACGCCUUCGAUUCGCACACGAAACGAUUCUACCUAUAUAGAAUAUACUUGUAGUAGAUCAGCUAAAACAAAAACAACUUAAUUUGCAUUUUGAUUUAUAAUUUCUUUUGAAACAAAAACCAUACCUAUAUACAAAUGUUCAAAAAAUAUGAUGAAUAAGUGUUGGGGGAGGGGAUGGUAAAGAGUAAACAACUUAAAUUUCAAUAAUUAGUCGCAUGCUGACAGUGGUAAAUG
Drosophila willistoni is the source of this 1591-nucleotide long non-coding RNA. RefSeq lists it as uncharacterized. The transcript is spliced from 3 exons. Lineage: Eukaryota; Metazoa; Arthropoda; Insecta; Diptera; Drosophilidae. The record is from RefSeq and is a predicted model, not a curated record.